CUUAAUUCCCUUUGAAAAAUGGGGCCUCCCUGAUGUGUGAUUAGAUGGAUAUUUCCAAUAUACCCAUCUCCCCUCCCCCACAAAGAAAGAACCAGCUCACAAAGGGAGAGCCAGUUUGGGCAAGCAAAUUUGAUGUGGGAGUUAGAGGAGUAUGAUUUCAAAAGGAGAAAGACUGUUUUAAUCAAAAUGACAGUCUUUCAGCUACUGUUUUCUGGGGCCAAGAUGGCUGCCCUCUGACUUGCUAUGGAGAGGGCAAGAUCAUGGCUUUUGGAGGGAGGUGAGUUUGGGAAGGCCAGGAGCAUCCUCCUGCCUCCUCCUAACCUCCAAGUAUACAGAAGGGGAG
This 343-nucleotide long non-coding RNA is filed under the name Androctonus crassicauda. The record is from RNAcentral. Lineage: Eukaryota; Metazoa; Arthropoda; Arachnida; Scorpiones; Buthidae.